This 72-nucleotide transfer RNA is filed under the name Loxodonta africana (African savanna elephant). It matches the Rfam family "tRNA". Rfam says of the family: Transfer RNA (tRNA) molecules are approximately 80 nucleotides in length. Their secondary structure includes four short double-helical elements and three loops (D, anti-codon, and T loops). Further hydrogen bonds mediate the characteristic L-shaped molecular structure. tRNAs have two regions of fundamental functional importance: the anti-codon, which is responsible for specific mRNA codon recognition, and the 3' end, to which the tRNAs corresponding amino acid is attached (by aminoacyl-tRNA synthetases). tRNAs cope with the degeneracy of the genetic code in two manners: having more than one tRNA (with a specific anti-codon) for a particular amino acid; and 'wobble' base-pairing, i.e. permitting non-standard base-pairing at the 3rd anti-codon position. Lineage: Eukaryota; Metazoa; Chordata; Mammalia; Proboscidea; Elephantidae. The record is from Rfam by way of RNAcentral.
CGCUGGGUGGUGUAAGCCGUUAACAUGCUUGGCUGCUAACCAAAAGGUUGGGGGUUCAAGUCCGCCCAGCCA